AGCAGCCGCGGUAAUUCCAGCUCCAAUAGCGUAUAUUAAAGUUGUUGCAGUUAAAAAGCUCGUAGUUGAAUUUCGGGAUCGACGGGUCGGUCGCGCCUCUGGUGUGUACUGGCCCUGUCGGUUUCUCCCUUCUGACGAACCACGAUGUCAUUAAUUUGGUGUCGUGGGAAAUCAGGACUGUUACUUUGAAAAAAUUAGAGUGUUUAAAGCAGGCAUUCGCUUGAAUACAUUAGCAUGGAAUAAUGAAAUAGGACGUUUGAUCUUAUUUUGUUGGUUUCUAAGAUCGACGUAAUGAUUAAUAGGGAUAGUUGGGGGCAUUAGUAUUCAAUUGUCAGAGGUGAAAUUCUUGGAUUUAUUGAAGACUAACUACUGCGAAAGCAUUUGCCAAGGAUGUUUUCAUUAAUCAAGAACGAAAGUUAGGGGAUCGAAGACGAUCAGAUACCGUCGUAGUCUUAACCAUAAACUAUGCCGACUAGGGAUCGGAUGAUGUUAAUUUUUUAAUGACUCAUUCGGCGCCUUACGG
Molecule: ribosomal RNA, 523 nt
Filed under: uncultured Glomeraceae
Lineage: Eukaryota; Fungi; Glomeromycota; Glomeromycetes; Glomerales; Glomeraceae
Description: SSU rRNA
Rfam family: Eukaryotic small subunit ribosomal RNA
Source: RNAcentral